CUUUAGCCGUGGGUGGAGCGGCAUCCUGCGAGAGAAAAAACAAGUGAUGAACGAAGUUUUUACGAAUCGGAGAUACAGCGGAACACACGAAAGUUA
This 96-nucleotide unclassified non-coding RNA is filed under the name Flavobacterium urocaniciphilum. RNAcentral's name for it is "Flavo-1 RNA". The record is from RNAcentral. Lineage: Bacteria; Pseudomonadati; Bacteroidota; Flavobacteriia; Flavobacteriales; Flavobacteriaceae.